Molecule: non-coding RNA, 102 nt
Organism: Mycena galericulata
Lineage: Eukaryota; Fungi; Basidiomycota; Agaricomycetes; Agaricales; Mycenaceae
Source: the annotation of a GenBank genome assembly
GGUUCGAUGGUGUAGUUGGUUAUCACUUCUGUCUAACAAUUAGAUGCAUUUAGUGUUGACUUGUAACACAGGCGGUCCUCAGUUCGAACCUGGGUCGAAUCA